GCGUGCUAAUACAUGCAAGUUGAACGAUGAUUUCUGGUACUUGUAUCAGAAUGAAGAGUAGCGAACGGGUGAGUAACGCGUGGGUAACCUACCUCUUAGCGGGGGACAACUAUUGGAAACGAUAGCUAAUACCGCAUAACAAUAUUAAACACAUGUUUAACAUUUGAAAGUACCAAUUGGUACACUAGGAGAUGGACCCGCGUUGUAUUAGCUAGUUGGUAGUGUAAUGGACUACCAAGGCGAUGAUACAUAGCCGACCUGAGAGGGUGAUCGGCCACAUUGGGACUGAGACACGGCCCAAACUCCUACGGGAGGCAGCAGUAGGGAAUCUUCGGCAAUGGACGAAAGUCUGACCGAGCAACGCCGCGUGAGUGAAGAAGGUUUUCGGAUCGUAAAACUCUGUUGUUAGAGAAGAACGUUGUGUAGAGUGGAAAAUUACACAAGUGACGGUAUCUAACCAGAAAGGGACGGCUAACUACGUGCCAGCAGCCGCGGUAAUACGUAGGUCCCGAGCGUUGUCCGGAUUUAUUGGGCGUAAAGCGAGCGCAGGUGGUUUAAUAAGUCUGAUGUAAAAGGCAGUGGCUCAACCAUUGUGUGCAUUGGAAACUGUUAGACUUGAGUGCAGUAGAGGAGAGUGGAAUUCCAUGUGUAGCGGUGAAAUGCGUAGAUAUAUGGAGGAACACCGGUGGCGAAAGCGGCUCUCUGGACUGUAACUGACACUGAGGCUCGAAAGCGUGGGAAGCAAACAGGAUUAGAUACCCUGGUAGUCCACGCCGUAAACGAUGAGUGCUAAGUGUUGGAGGGUUUCCGCCCUUCAGUGCUGCAGUUAACGCAUUAAGCACUCCGCCUGGGGAGUACGACCGCAAGGUUGAAACUCAAAGGAAUGACGG
This 890-nucleotide ribosomal RNA is filed under the name uncultured bacterium. RNAcentral's name for it is "bacterial SSU rRNA". It matches the Rfam family "Bacterial small subunit ribosomal RNA", at positions 42 to 916 of the family's 1533-position model. The record is from RNAcentral.